CACCAAACUGCUGGAAGUGGAGCCGCGGCGCAAGCAAACGUUCAAGCGUUAUUUCUCCUUACUUCGACAUUACUACAGGCGGACUAGUGAGCAGCCUACUCGCGGGGUCACCUAGAGCUGCAGUUCCGACUCCCAGACUAUUUAUAACUGGGCCCGGACCCGAUGAUCCAGCCUCGUCCCCGCAUACAGGACAUAACCUCUCAACUCCAUGACGUCGGAGUAGCUGCUGUUACCACGUCUCGUCUAGAGGUGCAAGCAUGGACAGAAAAGGCGGACAACAAAGGAAGGGCAGGAUUCAGUAUGUGGCCAGUAACCCAGUAUGCCUGAUGGGACAUCUCAUGGGUCUUGAACAGCACGGGCACUACUUUGCUGGCAUUAGGAGCGGUGCUGCACCCUAGUAAUGGCAAACAGACGCUGUGGUGUGUGAGCUCAGCAGUGUCCCACACUGCACGUUACUGAAUGUUAUAUUUAGCGCCGUUACAUCAGCAACUACGAGACAACUGGCUGAACCACAGGAGUGUGUCACGAGAACUGGGCUGCUUGGGCAGUAACAGAAGGACAAUACACACAAAGGAAGUGAGCAAAGCUGGGCAUGACAUCAAACAUGGACAACAGCAGAUGCAUCAUACACAUAGCCCAUCAAUAAAUGUAUACAUGGGCUGUGUACAUAUGAGGUAAUAUCCUACUGGCCUUUUCGGCUAGCCAAUGACUCUUCUCUUUCCCUAGUGCUGAGAAAAAAAGAGAGAUCACAAAAGAAACAGGCUGGGGCUACAGCAAACAAGAAAGUGUUAGCUGACUGAUGUGGCUAGCCCACCCAUAUACAUGUACACUGGAAUCCCACAUGUGUGCUACUUCAACUCUAACACACGUGUGUGUGUGUGUGUGUGUGUGUGUGUGUGUGUGUGUGUGUGUGUAAAAGUGAUAUAAUCUUUAACAAUAGUGCCAGUGGAGUGUGUCCAUUCUUCACACUAGCAUUCAUGCUCCCAGAAAGUCUACUGUAAUCUGCAGUUUAAUGAGCAUAGAGGGGGAGAGCACGAGCCAACGAGUGCGUGUUCCUCUAAGACUGUUCUCACACGCUCACACAGCAGCUAAAUAUACCAGCAUUCCCGUGGGGACAUCAGAAUCCAGAUACCGCACAAGCAGUGCUCACUCAUCCACAGCGCAGUGCUCAAGCAUAUUUUGCACACAAGACUAACAUGUUUUUUUAUUUCAUUUUACAUAAGUAUACUGCACACGAUAUUAAACACUUAAAACAGUAACGUGUGUGUGGGGGGGGGGGUAUGGAUGUGUCAUUGGUACAGCCAGUACUGCUUCUCUUAACACUCAUCCUCCACUUUGUGGGACUCCAUUAGUCAGCAGUGGGGUACACUAUUACACUCCCACACACACACACAGCAAGUCUGUCAGAUUCAGAUCUUGCCAUGUGCUGUAAGGAGCUCAUAGGUGAGAGGAACAGUGUGAGAGUUUAAGAUGCGAGUCACAGCUUCCUAGUACAAGGCCAGCAAGUCUGAGUCAGAACUCUGGGCCCUGUUUUUCCAGAGCACGCGCACGCACACACACACAGUCAGGAGAACACAGCUGCACUUGAAGCACAGUUUAUGGGGGAAAAUAACCCUCAAGGGCAAAAGCAUCCUUUUUGUUUGUAUGCGACUCACUGAGCAAGAGACUGAAACAGACUGUGUGAUGUGUGAUUUACACACAAGUUAUAUGUGAGUAAUAAUGCACUCUGGCACAUAUUUGUGUUGACCUUCACCUGGUCUGUUCCUAACUGACCCCUCCUUCUCUCCUGCUGUUCUUCUCUGUUGUUCUCUCAGUAAACAACACAGCAGGCCGCACUUUAUCUGAGGUGUAAUAACGGCAGAAUGCGUAUCCUUAAACACACAAUCUACAGGUAUUAAAGGAAUAAUGAAAGCUACAGAAGACUCCUUUUAACCACGGAUCAGGAAAACAUCCUGCGAAGCAUCACUUCAAAUCCAACAGACUACACCUAAGCAUGCAGUAGCUUUCAUCAAAUGAACACACACACACCUCAGACCAAACAUUUUAUACAUAUUUCUGGCAAUCACUGUAACAGACAGAUGUUUCAGACAGGUGAAGUUAAUUUAUUACAUUACUGAUAGCAGUAAAGUGGAAUACUGGUUAGGGCUCUUGACCUUUGACUUAGUGGGUUGAAAGGUCAGCCACCCUCUGGAGACACAGCUGGUACAACUUUAAAGAGUCUCUACAGUACUUGCAUGGUGACCACUGCAUGUAUACAGUGAACUUUGCAUUACCACCCUAAAAAAGGAAACAGGAUUUUUUCAUUCCCAAGUCUGGAAUGUUGUGCACAAGUACUGCAAUAAAACACAAGUAAACAACCAUUUACGGCAGCUGAAAGUGGAACAUAGAGGGAGAGCAAGGCCUCUGUGCUCAGGGGUGUUCUGACAUGUCCAAAGAUGAAAAGGGGACCAUAUUUUCUCCAGUCCAAACAAUGGAACUUAGCCUCACGGACAUUGCUUACUGAGCACUCUACAGGGAGCAAACCAAACGCCAAAACACCAUAUGGACUAAAGCCUGGAACAUUAUGAUGGGAUAAACUGUGUUCUAAAAAUAUUAGAAAAUAAUUAAUUUAGACAGUUUACUGGAUUGCACAGUUCCACUGUUUAUUUGACAUAUGCAUGAAACAGGCUGAAAUGCACAUCACAGUGUAUAUUGUCUACAGUGUUUAUACACCUGAAUAUUUUAAGCAUGUUUUGUAAUGUCAGUAGUUCACAAAUUUAACCUCUAUAAUGCUCUGCUGUACUGUAGUGUUUACUAGGAACAGAUAUAUAAUUUUCAUAUUAAAUCUAAACCAAGUCAGCACUUAGAACCUUUACCACAGAGCACACAUCACCUGUGGUUACAUUUAAGUCAGUAUCUAGAGCUAUGAUCACACGGAGAGCGUGCAAAAGCCAGGUUUCAAAUGUCAAGAUGAACUCUGGAGGGAGCUACUAAGCACAAAGGGCAGAGGGUGGGGGAGCAGACAAGCUGGGUGAGUCAACCCAGGUUAGAGUCAACCCGGGUUAGAGUCAACCCGGGUUAGAGUCAACCCGGUUGAGAACAGCUGGCAGAAAAGCUCAUAGCCAUCUCUGCCAUGAAAGGUUAAAGAGCGAGAGGUCAAGAGAGAGGGGUGCAGAGCGAGAGGUCAAGAGAGACUGGAGGGGGGGCAGUAGAGAGGUGGGUAGUGAGAGAGGGGCAGGGCGACAUGAGGGUAGAAAGAGAGGGCAAGAGAGAGGUAGAGAGAGCACCAGUGUGUGAGUCUGUUCUCGUGACCAGGCAGCAUGUGAGCGUCAGCACGGUGAUGAGGCCCGGUUCUUUCUCUUAUUGUCUACUCACCAGCUGGGACAUCAUAUGCGCAUGCACACCCACACACACACACCCACACAGGCACACACGCUUUGUGUCUGUUCUGCCUGUCCUCUGCUAAUCUGACACCUCGGUUUUAAAGAAAAAAAAAAAAACCACA
This is a long non-coding RNA of Electrophorus electricus (electric eel), 3484 nucleotides long. RefSeq lists it as uncharacterized. Lineage: Eukaryota; Metazoa; Chordata; Actinopteri; Gymnotiformes; Gymnotidae. The record is from RefSeq and is a predicted model, not a curated record.